AUUGAACGCUGGCGGAAUGCUUUACACAUGCAAGUCGAGCGGCAGCGCGGGGCAACCUGGCGGCGAGCGGCGAACGGGUGAGUAAUGUAUCGGAACGUAUCCUUAAGUGGGGGACAACUAGUCGAAAGACUAGCUAAUACCGCAUACGAUCGAGAGAUGAAAGUGGGGGACCGCAAGGCCUCACGCUUUUGGAGCGGCCGAUAUCCGAUUAGCUUGUUGGUGAGGUAAAGGCUUACCAAGGCUAUGAUCGGUAGCUGGUCUGAGAGGAUGAUCAGCCACACUGGGACUGAGACACGGCCCAGACUCCUACGGGAGGCAGCAGUGGGGAAUUUUGGACAAUGGGGGCAACCCUGAUCCAGCCAUUCCGCGUGAGUGAAGAAGGCUUUCGGGUUGUAAAGCUCUUUUGUCGGGGACGAAACGGUUUCACCUAAUACGUGAGACUACUGACGGUACCCGAAGAAUAAGCACCGGCUAACUACGUGCCAGCAGCCGCGGU
RNAcentral lists this ribosomal RNA (496 nucleotides) under uncultured bacterium. RNAcentral's name for it is "bacterial SSU rRNA". It matches the Rfam family "Bacterial small subunit ribosomal RNA", at positions 30 to 521 of the family's 1533-position model. The record is from RNAcentral.